Molecule: ribosomal RNA, 466 nt
Filed under: uncultured bacterium
Lineage: Bacteria
Description: partial 16S ribosomal RNA
Rfam family: Bacterial small subunit ribosomal RNA
Source: RNAcentral
ACGCACGCUGGCGGCGUGCUUAACACAUGCCAGUCGAACGGAAGGCCCUGCUUUUGUGGGGUGCUCGAGUGGCGAACGGGUGAGUAACACGUGAGUAACCUGCCCUUGACUUUGGGAUAACUUCAGGAAACUGGGGCUAAUACCGGAUAGGAGCUCCUGCUGCAUGGUGGGGGUUGGAAAGUUUCGGCGGUUGGGGAUGGACUCGCGGCUUAUCAGCUUGUUGGUGGGGUAGUGGCUUACCAAGGCUUUGACGGGUAGCCGGCCUGAGAGGGUGACCGGCCACAUUGGGACUGAGAUACGGCCCAGACUGCUACGGGAGGCAGCAGUGGGGAAUAUUGCACAAUGGGCGGAAGCCUGAUGCAGAAACGCCGCGUGCGGGAUGACGGCCUUCGGGUUGUAAACCGCUUUCGCCUGUGACGAAGCGUGAGUGACGGUAAUGGGUAAAGAAGCACCGGCUAACUACGUG